RNAcentral lists this ribosomal RNA (302 nucleotides) under uncultured eukaryote. RNAcentral describes it as "partial 18S ribosomal RNA". It matches the Rfam family "Eukaryotic small subunit ribosomal RNA", at positions 1470 to 1796 of the family's 1831-position model. The record is from RNAcentral.
CCCUUAGAUGUUCUGGGCCGCACGCGCGCUACACUGAUGCAUUCAACAAGCCUAGCCUUGACCGAGAGGUCCGGGUAAUCUUUGAAACUGCAUCGUGAUGGGGCUAGAUUAUUGCAAUUAUUAAUCUUCAACGAGGAAUGCCUAGUAAGCGUGAUUCAUCAAAUCGCGUUGAUUACGUCCCUGCCCUUUGUACACACCGCCCGUCGCUCCUACCGAUUGAAUGUGUUGGUGAGCACUCUGGAGUGCAGCAAUGCAUAAAUGAAUGCAAACCUGAGCGUUUAGAGGAAGGAUAAGUCGUAACA